UCUCUUUUAAACACAGCCAGGCCCCAUGGAUCCAAGAAGACCCUGGGAUGCAAUAAAAUCUUAAGGAACCAGGGAUCAGCUAUAAACACAUCAGCCCCUCAUGAAACUAAAUGGAACAUUGUGAUGUAGUGGAAUUUAAUGUAUUCAAGUCUCUACUUUGAGCAAGAGUGGCCUCAUGGAACACAGGUGCCACGGGGACAUUGCCAGGCCUAGUGAAAACAGGACUCCAUUAUUGCACAGCAAGGCCUCAUGGAAUCCAGGAGACAAAUGUGACACAAUGCAACAUCUGCGAACCAAGCAGCAACUGCAAACACAAAUAGCACAUCCUUGAAGCGAGGUGCUGUUGGAUCUUGUCAGUGUCUAUUGUGACACAGCACAGCCUCAUGAUGCACAGUGACACCAUCAAAUCUUGAGGAGGCAAGUAUUAAUUGUGAACACUGUCAGACCUUAUGGAAGCCAGGAGACCACUGUGAUGCACUGGAAUAUAAAGGAACCAAGGCUCUACUUUGAGCAAGAUGGUCCUCAUGGCACACAGGUGACACUGGGACACUGCAAGGCCUAAUAGAAACAAGCUUCUAUUAUUGCACAAAAAGGUCUCAUGGCAUCUGGGUGGCUGCUGUGUCACAAUGGCAUAUGAUAGAAGUAAAUUUUCAUGGCAAAGCUAAACGACCUCAUGGCACACAGGAGACCACUGUGAUGCCAUGCAAUCUUGGGGAAUGCAGAGUCAACUGCAAACAUGGCAGGGCCUCAUGGAACACAGGUGCCACUGGGAUAUCCCCAUUGCCCAUGGAAACAAGUGUCCAUUAUGACACAGACAGGCCUAAUGGAACACAGGAGACCACUGUGAUGAAAGAAAAUCUCAAGACACCAAGGCUCCAUUGUGACACAGAGGGCUAUCAUGGAACCAAGGUUAUCCAGAGGGCAUGUGAAGAAGACAUGAGCCUUCCUCCAAGAAGACCACCGAAGAGCCAGAAGACCCCUUGGAAACAAUGGGAGCAUGCACUGUGCAGUAGAGUGACGCAGAUUUCAAGAAUCAAAAAUAGGAGGAGAUUUAUGGGAAACUAAUAAUGAAUAUGUAUUAGCACACAGUAUAUAA
Molecule: long non-coding RNA, 1096 nt
Organism: Passer domesticus (house sparrow)
Lineage: Eukaryota; Metazoa; Chordata; Aves; Passeriformes; Passeridae
Exons: 2
Source: RefSeq, a predicted model, not a curated record